CCUACGGGUGGCUGCAGUCGAGGAUCUUCGGCAAUGGGGGCAACCCUGACCGAGCGAUGCCGCGUGGGCGACGAAGGCCUUCGGGUUGUAAAGCCCUGUCGAGGGGGAGAAAGCCCGCAAGGGCGGAUCCAUCCCUGGAGGAAGCUCGGGCUAAGUUCGUGCCAGCAGCCGCGGUAAGACGAACCGAGCGAACGUUGUUCGGAAUCACUGGGCUUAAAGGGCGCGUAGGCGGGCUGCCGCGUCCGGGGUGAAAUCCUCCGGCUCAACCGGAGAAC
This 275-nucleotide ribosomal RNA is filed under the name uncultured Gemmata sp. RNAcentral's name for it is "partial 16S ribosomal RNA". It matches the Rfam family "Bacterial small subunit ribosomal RNA", at positions 338 to 621 of the family's 1533-position model. Lineage: Bacteria; Pseudomonadati; Planctomycetota; Planctomycetia; Gemmatales; Gemmataceae. The record is from RNAcentral.